RNAcentral lists this long non-coding RNA (2973 nucleotides) under Canis lupus familiaris (dog). Its description in RNAcentral is "lncRNA (ENSCAFG00000058704.1)". Lineage: Eukaryota; Metazoa; Chordata; Mammalia; Carnivora; Canidae. The record is from RNAcentral.
AUAUUUUACCCCAGUUAAAAAUAGCUCCUCACACAAGGGCUGAAAACAGGCUCCUUCUCUGAGCACUUCCUCGCGCGGGUUCUCAGCCUCCCCCUGAAUCAUCGUCCCUGAGCCGCUUCACCGCCACCUCAUGGAGAGGCAAGCCAAGGCCUCCCACGCUUCCUCUGGGGACGCUGUCAGCCAGUGCCUGUCCCGUUGCUGUCCAGCCAGCCCGAAUCAGGUCUUAAUAUGCAGCCAGAUGGUGUUGCUGCCCCUUCCAGAACCACCGCCUGCUGUUCCUCCAGCAAAGAGGAAGGAGCACACCUUUUGUCCCGGUACCAGGAAGCCAGCAGUCCCUUCUGUGGCUCGAUUUUAGCAGAGCCUCUCCGCCACUCGGAAUAGUUCCUGAGUCUUCUCCUCUACCCGGUGCUCCAGGCAGAGUUUUGACCUGUCAGGAAAUGGUGUUUGAGGUGUGCUGAGGAAGCAGAGGAGGAGGCGAGGAUGGAAAAUCCAAACAUCUGGGCAGCCCGGGUGGCUCAGCGGUUUAGAGCCGCCUCCAGCCCAGGGUGUGAUCCUGGGGACCCGGGAUCGAGUCCCGUGUCAGGCUCCCUGCAUGGAGCCUGCUCCUCCCUCUGCCUGUGUCUUUGCCUCUCUCUCUCUCUGUGUCUCUCAUGAAUAAAUAAAUAAAAUAAUAAUAAAAAAGAAGAAAAUCCAAACAUCUUUCCAAAAUCGCUGUGGACAGGCAAUUUAUGUUUUCGCAUCAGUCUGGCUUUCAAACAACCAGAGCCACUCGUCCGAUGAGUUCCUGGCAUUCUCAUAAGCCAUACCAUCAUGCCUCCAUCUGGGAAUCAGACAGAGUUGUGACAACCUGUAGAACCAUCCAGCUGAGUCAGGUGACAGGUUCCUGAGCCGGCUGGACAGGCUGUGGCAUCACCCACACUGAAGAUAAUAACACCACGAAGAAAGUUCUCUCCAUUCUGGAAACCUAAAGGAAUGUGUGCAAGUCCCUGCCACCCCACCCCCUGGCCAUCAUUCAGCCACAUACAUACUCCUUGUCUUCAGUACGACUUCCACGUUGGUGCUACUUCAAGAGCUCUGAGGCUGCAGAAGCUGGAGAUGACUGCUUCUCCCUCCCAGAUCCUGGGCUCCUGCUUAUACCCGGAGACAGGAAGAAGGAUCUGUGUGGGCUUCCAUGCUUUUCCUGAAGCACCAUUCCUGCCCAGCCAGGACCAAGGAGGUUUGCUUGCCCUCCCGCCCGCCCCAUCCCCCUUCCUUCUUGUGAGCUCGGUGUGGUCCAGGGCAAAGGAAGCGUAGGUGGCUGUGUAUUUGCUUCCUGUCUGCACCUCCUAUGGGGGCUGUACCUUCCCCGCACUUGGCCUUUAGCAAUCUGUUCAGAAGUGGUGUAGUUGGACUCCUCUUUCCCGCUGUGUGGUGCCCAACAUCUGCAACAGGUAAGCAAGUCCCUGUGUCCUGGCUCUCCUCCGAGGCAUGGGUUUUCCGAAAGGUUUCAGCUAAGUGUAGUUCAAGGAAAGAUGAUCAUCUUGUAGAUUAUUUGGCCUUGCUUUUGAUAAGGGUGAGAGAGCGAUGCUCUUUGCAGAAUUCUAACCCUAAGCAAAAGCCAGCCAUCCUACAGCCUUUUGAGAUUAAAAGUCCAGAAGCUUAAUUAUGUUGGGAGGUUUUUUUUUUUUUUUUUUGAGUUAUGUUGGGAGAUUUUUUUUUAAAGAUUUUAUUUAUUUAUCCAUAGUCACACAGAGAGAGAGAGGGGCAGAGGCACAGGCAGAGGGAGAAGCAGGCUCCACGCAGGGAGCCCGACGUGGGACUCAAUCCCGGGUCUCCAGGAUCACACCCCAGGCUGCAGGCGGCACCAAACCGCUGCGCUACUGGGGCUGCCCAGAUCUUUAAAAAUGGGAUGGAUGUCUUGAUGUUUUGGGUUCUUGGAGAGUAUAAAUCACUCUCUGAGUAAAGCAACAAACCAGUACAGGUCUUAGUUUCUUAUCUCAUGCAACUGUUUUCGUUUUGUUCUUUGUCCUUGUACAUAUUUUUAAGUUCUGAAUAGGAUAUACUACCACAGGGGUCACUGUUCAUUAGCAGACAAUAAAAGGUCUCCUUCCCUUCCCUAUCCAACCCCCCACCCAGUUCUCCCUACAGGAAGUCAGUGUUACAACUUGCCUCUUAUCCUUUCAGGAGUAUUUUAUGCGACCACAGGAGAACGACUCUAUUCUUUCCCUGCUCACGGUUACACAAGUGACAGCACACUUUGCAUACUGCUCUGUUGCUUUGCUGUUUUCACCUGGCAAGACAUGUUUUGGAGGCCUUUUCCUGAUCGCCAGAAAGAGGUUCCUCACGUUAGUGGCUCUGGGGUCCACACCUCCAGAGGUAGGGAAGAGACAAGGGCCGGCGUCAUCACCGAGGGGUGGGGGUGCCAGGUAGGCCCUCCAGGUUAACCACAGCUAACUGGUUCUGAUUGUUGGGCUCCAGGCUCUCCUUUAAGUUCAUUACAAUAAACUACCUUAGUAAGUCCUCAUAAGCAUCCCUGUGAGGCAGGACUAUUUUCAGCCCCAUGCAAGAGAGGAGAAAACCGAGGCCCUCACUUUAAGUAAGAUCAUCUCCCUGAGAGUGGCUCAGCGUGGAGACGGGGGGCUGGCUUCGAUGCUUCGAUGCUGCUGCCCAGCUGCCCUGCCCAGAUACCACAGGCCCACACCUGAGGCUUCUCCUCAGCCUGCUGUCCACAGGAGGGAGGACGAAGGUAGACUCUGCGUGGGACAAGCUGGUGAUCCCAGGCACACUCUGGCCCAGACCCUCUGGCCGCCAGGCCCUGGUGGGCCACAGGUCUGCACAUGUGCCUUCCCAGGGACAUUUGGGGAUGAAGGGAUUAGAGGCCACGGAGCACAAAUGUAAUUGCUAAAGGAGUUCAGUCAAAGGAGGAUUAGCUGGGGAUUUGGAGGAAGUUUCCCACAAAUCACUGAGGCUGCCAGUGGCAAAGAUUACUUGGGG